UUGCAAGGAUUCUUUCAGAAUAGUUAUGAUAUUGGUAGCCCAUUUUUACUUAUAUGUUCAUUAAACAUGUCAAGAUAACUUUUUUGAAUAAUGAUCUUCAUGAUAAAUUUUACAUGAAUCAACCAUAAAGUUUUGUUGAGAGUGAAAAGAACAUAUGGUAUACAUACUUAAGAGAUAUAUCUAUGGUCUUCAGUGGUUAGUAAAGAAAUGA
Molecule: long non-coding RNA, 211 nt
Filed under: Elaeis guineensis (African oil palm)
Lineage: Eukaryota; Viridiplantae; Streptophyta; Magnoliopsida; Arecales; Arecaceae
Description: long non-coding RNA (EGUI_LNC041436)
Source: RNAcentral